This is a long non-coding RNA of Neopsephotus bourkii (Bourke's parrot), 802 nucleotides long. RefSeq lists it as uncharacterized. The transcript has 2 exons. NCBI's taxonomy places the organism in Eukaryota, Metazoa, Chordata, Aves, Psittaciformes, Psittacidae. The record is from RefSeq and is a predicted model, not a curated record.
CCCUUUUGUCCAGGGAGGAAGGGUUCAUCCUUUGGUUCAUCAGUCACACAUUGUGCAACCCAUGUGCAUUGCUGACCUUUGGCUUUUCUUGUUUGGUGUUUUUCCCACCCCCUGGAAGAGCAGGCAGUGGUGCUCUGAGGUCAAACCCAGCACUCUGAGGUCUUAUCUUCAUGAGCAAGAGCAGUUGUCCGACUCCACGUAGCCAAGAGCAUCAGGCACUUGUCUGGGAUGCAGAUUCAAGCUAAGUCCCUCCUGUGAAUGUGUCCCCAGCAUAUCAUUGCUGGGGACCCUGACACAAUGAAGUAGGCACUGGAAGCAGGCGCCAGAGUCAGGAGGGAGAGCAGAUGGUGACCUGGUUUUGCCAGUGAAAGAAUGAGGCUGGAAAGGCACUGUUGAAGUGAGGACACGGGGAAGAGGCUGCCUGGCAGUGCCUUACAUAAACAAGAGCUCAUUUGAGCCAGCCCGGGCCUGAGACCUGCCUCUUCCCAUGCUCCAGGAGGAAGAUGUGAUGGGGAGGUGAUGGUAGAAAAUGUAGAUCUAUGUGAUGCUUGAUUCUUAACCUGUGGUGUUAAAAGCACGUGUGGUACUAUGGGAGGAGUUUGUCCACCAUGUAGCUGGUCUUUGAUUGUCACUGCAUAAGUGACCCUCCAUGAGAUAGACCCCACUGUUCAUGUUUCUGCCUGAUCCCCAAUAUUUUUCCGAAGCAGGAAGGAUGAGUGUGUUUUUCCCUUUGUUUUCCCAUGUGCAGUUAACUAUUUGAAGAUGAUUCACUGUUAUGCUCAUAAACAUAUGCUUCUGCUUG